Molecule: unclassified non-coding RNA, 594 nt
Filed under: Alternaria alternata
Lineage: Eukaryota; Fungi; Ascomycota; Dothideomycetes; Pleosporales; Pleosporaceae
Description: partial contains small subunit rRNA, ITS1, 5.8S rRNA, ITS2 and large subunit rRNA
Rfam family: 5.8S ribosomal RNA (bases 220-373)
Source: RNAcentral
GGAAGUAAAAGUCGUAACAAGGUUUCCGUAGGUGAACCUGCGGAGGGAUCAUUACACAAAUAUGAAGGCGGGCUGGAACCUCUCGGGGUUACAGCCUUGCUGAAUUAUUCACCCUUGUCUUUUGCGUACUUCUUGUUUCCUUGGUGGGUUCGCCCACCACUAGGACAAACAUAAACCUUUUGUAAUUGCAAUCAGCGUCAGUAACAAAUUAAUAAUUACAACUUUCAACAACGGAUCUCUUGGUUCUGGCAUCGAUGAAGAACGCAGCGAAAUGCGAUAAGUAGUGUGAAUUGCAGAAUUCAGUGAAUCAUCGAAUCUUUGAACGCACAUUGCGCCCUUUGGUAUUCCAAAGGGCAUGCCUGUUCGAGCGUCAUUUGUACCCUCAAGCUUUGCUUGGUGUUGGGCGUCUUGUCUCUAGCUUUGCUGGAGACUCGCCUUAAAGUAAUUGGCAGCCGGCCUACUGGUUUCGGAGCGCAGCACAAGUCGCACUCUCUAUCAGCAAAGGUCUAGCAUCCAUUAAGCCUUUUUUUCAACUUUUGACCUCGGAUCAGGUAGGGAUACCCGCUGAACUUAAGCAUAUCAAUAAGCGGAGGA